This 496-nucleotide ribosomal RNA is filed under the name Zyzygomyces bachmannii. RNAcentral's name for it is "SSU rRNA". It matches the Rfam family "Bacterial small subunit ribosomal RNA", at positions 393 to 952 of the family's 1533-position model. The record is from RNAcentral. Lineage: Eukaryota; Fungi; Basidiomycota; Tremellomycetes; Filobasidiales; Filobasidiaceae.
CACGCUACUUAGAUUCGGUAUGGAUUUAUUUCCUGAUCUUAAUAGGCUCAGCCGAUAAAAGGUUCUUGAAUAAUGAUCGGAACCAUAUUAGUGGGUCACAAUCGCCGUGCCAGAAUGAUCGGUAAAACGGCUCCCACGAGCGAAAUCUAUAUUGAAUAGGUGUAAAGGAUACGUAGGCGGUUCUGCGGUAACUAGAGUUAUAAUGGAGUAAGUACAAUACUUAGAGUAACGAUGAUAUGUUAUGAUCCUAAGGGGAGUGCUAAUGGCGAAGGCAACUUACUGAUAAUAACUGACGCUGAGGUAUGAAGGUUUGGGUAUAGACAGAGAUUAGAUACCUCAUUAUUCCACACUGUAAACGAUGCAAUCCAAAAGUUAGAUUAUAUCUAGUUUUUAAGUUAACACUUAAGAUUGCCACCUGUAGAGUAUAGCCGCAUGGCUGAAAUACAAAUAAUUAGACGGCCUGAGAGUACACGGCGUGAAGUAUGUUAUUUAAUUC